This 419-nucleotide ribosomal RNA is filed under the name Spirochaetaceae bacterium. RNAcentral describes it as "partial 23S ribosomal RNA". It matches the Rfam family "Bacterial large subunit ribosomal RNA", at positions 2518 to 2925 of the family's 2925-position model. The record is from RNAcentral. Lineage: Bacteria; Pseudomonadati; Spirochaetota; Spirochaetia; Spirochaetales; Spirochaetaceae.
UUGGCACCUCGAUGUCGGCUCAUCGCAUCCUGGGGCUGAAGCAGGUCCCAAGGGUUUGGCUGUUCGCCAAUUAAAGCGGUACGUGAGCUGGGUUCAGAACGUCGCGAGACAGUUCGGUCCCUAUCUGCCACGGGCGUUGGAUGGUUGAGAGGAGCUGCUUUUAGUACGAGAGGACCGAAGUGGACGAACCUCUGGUGUACCAGUUAUCCUGCCAAGGGUAAGUGCUGGGUAGCUACGUUCGGAAGGGAUAACCGCUGAAAGCAUCUAAGUGGGAAGCCCACCUCAAGAUGAACCAUCCCUGACGCUAUAAGCGUCCUGAAGGAUCCAGGAAGAUGACCUGGUUGAUAGGCCGGAGGUAUACGCAUGGUAACAUGUUAAGCCGACCGGUACUAAUUUUCCGUGAGGCUUGACCAUAUUUC